Molecule: ribosomal RNA, 497 nt
Filed under: uncultured bacterium
Lineage: Bacteria
Description: partial 16S ribosomal RNA
Rfam family: Bacterial small subunit ribosomal RNA
Source: RNAcentral
GAUGAACGCUGGCGGCGUGCCUAAUACAUGCAAGUCGAGCGAACAGACGAGGAGCUUGCUCCUCUGACGUUAGCGGCGGACGGGUGAGUAACACGUGGAUAACCUACCUAUAAGACUGGGAUAACUUCGGGAAACCGGAGCUAAUACCGGAUAAUAUAUUGAACCGCAUGGUUCAAUAGUUAAAGACGGUUUUGCUGUCACUUAUAGAUGGAUCCGCGCCGCAUUAGCUAGUUGGUAAGGUAACGGCUUACCAAGGCAACGAUGCGUAGCCGACCUGAGAGGGUAAUCGGCCACACUAGAACUGAGACACGGCCCAGACUCCUCCGGGAGGCAGCAGUAGGGAAUCUUCCGCAAUGGGCGAAAGCUUGACGGAGCAACGCCGCGUGAGUGAUGAAGGUCUUCGGAUCUUAAAACUCUGUUAUUAGGAAAGAACAAAUGUGUAAUUAACUAUGCACGUCUUGACGGUACCUAAUCAGAAAGCCACGGCUAACUACGUG